RNAcentral lists this ribosomal RNA (301 nucleotides) under uncultured bacterium. RNAcentral describes it as "partial 16S ribosomal RNA". It matches the Rfam family "Bacterial small subunit ribosomal RNA", at positions 509 to 807 of the family's 1533-position model. The record is from RNAcentral.
CAGUAGCCGCGGUAAUACGUAGGGUGCAAGCGUUAAUCGGAAUUACUGGGCGUAAAGCGUGCGCAGGCGGUUCGCUAAGACAGAUGUGAAAUCCCCGGGCUUAACCUGGGAACUGCAUUUGUGACUGGCGGGCUAGAGUAUGGCAAAGGGGGGUAGAAUUCCACGUGCAGCAGUGAAAUGCGUAGAGAUGUGGAGGAAUACCGAUGGCGAAGGCAGCCCCCUGGGCCAAUACUGACGCUCAUGCACGAAAGCGUGGGGAGCAAACAGGAUUAGAUACCCCUGUAGUCCCUGUCUCUUAUAC